CGGGUGAGUAACGCGUGGGUAACCUGCCUUAUACAGGGGGAUAACAGUCAGAAAUGGCUGCUAAUACCGCAUAAGCGCACAGAGCUGCAUGGCUCAGUGUGAAAAACUCCGGUGGUAUAAGAUGGACCCGCGUUGGAUUAGCUUGUUGGCGGGGUAACGGCCCACCAAGCCUACGAUCGGUAGCCGGACUGAGAGGUUGAUCGGCCACAUUGGGACUGAGACACGGCCCAGACUCCUACGGGAGGCAGCAUG
This 252-nucleotide ribosomal RNA is filed under the name uncultured bacterium. RNAcentral's name for it is "partial 16S ribosomal RNA". It matches the Rfam family "Bacterial small subunit ribosomal RNA", at positions 103 to 353 of the family's 1533-position model. The record is from RNAcentral.